RNAcentral lists this ribosomal RNA (354 nucleotides) under uncultured bacterium. RNAcentral's name for it is "bacterial SSU rRNA". It matches the Rfam family "Bacterial small subunit ribosomal RNA", at positions 28 to 365 of the family's 1533-position model. The record is from RNAcentral.
GAUGAACGCUGGCGGCGUGCUUAACACAUGCAAGUCGAACGAAGCACUCUAUUUGAUUUCUUCGGAAUGAUUAUUUUGUGACUGAGUGGCGGACGGGUGAGUAACGCGUGGGUAACCUGCCUCAUACAGGGGGAUAACAGUUGGAAACGACUGCUAAUACCGCAUAAGCGCACAGUGCUGCAUGGCACAGUGUGAAAAACUCCGGUGGUAUGAGAUGGACCCGCGUCUGAUUAGCCAGUUGGUGGGGUAACGGCCUACCAAAGCGACGAUCAGUAGCCGACCUGAGAGGGUGACCGGCACAUUGGGACUGAGACACGGGCCCAAACUCCUACGGAGGCAGCAGUGGGGAAUAUU